Molecule: long non-coding RNA, 271 nt
Filed under: Pan troglodytes (chimpanzee)
Lineage: Eukaryota; Metazoa; Chordata; Mammalia; Primates; Hominidae
Description: long non-coding RNA NONPTRT005797
Source: RNAcentral
UAGGUACCUGUAUUUUCCUGGAGCGUUCUUUAUCACCUUCUUCAAAGGUUAACUCCUCAGAUGUUUUUAUGAUUCCCUGGAACCGUCCCACUGCCAAGGCAGAGUUUCCUUUCUGUGUGUCCCUUGAGGACCAGCUGUAAAGGCAACUGUAGAACACCCCAUGUUGUAUUGAGAUGAUUUUUUCCUCGGUCUUUCUUUCCAUCCCUCCCCAUGGUAGGCACUGAGCUGAACUGCCCUAUCACUUGAAAUAUUUUGCGUGUAAACCCAAUUU